This 497-nucleotide ribosomal RNA is filed under the name uncultured bacterium. Its description in RNAcentral is "partial 16S ribosomal RNA". It matches the Rfam family "Bacterial small subunit ribosomal RNA", at positions 28 to 507 of the family's 1533-position model. The record is from RNAcentral.
GAUGAACGCUGGCGGCGUGCCUAAUACAUGCAAGUCGAGCGAACGGACGAGAAGCUUGCUUCUCUGAUGUUAGCGGCGGACGGGUGAGUAACACGUGGAUAACCUACCUAUAAGACUGGGAUAACUUCGGGAAACCGGAGCUAAUACCGGAUAAUAUUUUGAACCGCAUGGUUCAAAAGUGAAAGACGGUCUUGCUGUCACUUAUAGAUGGAUCCGCGCUGCAUUAGCUAGUUGGUAAGGUAACGGCUUACCAAGGCAACGAUGCAUAGCCGACCUGAGAGGGUGAUCGGCCAAACUGGAACUGAGACACGGUCCAGACUCCUACGGGAGGAAGCAGUAGGGAAUCUUCCGCAAUGGGCGAAAGCCUGACGGAGCAACGCCGCGUGAGUGAUGAAGGUCUUCGGAUCGUAAAACUCUGUUAUUAGGGAAGAACAUAUGUGUAAGUAACUGUGCACAUCUUGACGGUACCUAAUCAGAAAGCCACGGCUAACUACGUG